AUUGAACGCUGGCGGCAGGCCUAACACAUGCAAGUCGAACGAGUGGCGGACGGGUGAGUAAUGUCUGGGAAACUGCCUGAUGGAGGGGGAUAACUACUGGAAACGGUAUCUAAUACCGCAUACCAUACGAUGUGCCCAGAUGGGAUUAGCUAGUUGGUGGGGUAACGGCUCACCAAGGCGACGAUCCCUAGUUGGUCUGAGAGGAUGACCAACCAUACUGGAACUGAGACCAGGGCCAGACUCCUACGGGAGGCAGCAGGGGAGAAUAUUGCACAAGGGGCGCAAGCCUGAUGAAGCCAUGCCGCGUGUAUGAUGAAGGCCAUCGGGUUGGAAGGGACUUGCAGCGGGAAGGCGUUGCCCGUAGAAGAAGCACCGGCUAACUCCGUGCCAGCAGCCGCGGUAAUUC
This 406-nucleotide ribosomal RNA is filed under the name uncultured bacterium. RNAcentral's name for it is "partial 16S ribosomal RNA". It matches the Rfam family "Bacterial small subunit ribosomal RNA", at positions 30 to 526 of the family's 1533-position model. The record is from RNAcentral.